Molecule: small RNA, 161 nt
Filed under: Streptomyces nanshensis
Lineage: Bacteria; Bacillati; Actinomycetota; Actinomycetes; Kitasatosporales; Streptomycetaceae
Description: c-di-AMP sequence
Rfam family: c-di-AMP riboswitch aptamer (ydaO/yuaA leader)
About the family: This family represents a conserved RNA structure found upstream of the ydaO and yuaA genes in Bacillus subtilis and related genes in other bacteria.
Source: RNAcentral
AACUCGAUAUCGCUGCACCAAGGGAACCGGGGAACCAACCCCCUGCCAGUCCGGUGGGGAUGGGGUGAAUCGGCAAGUUCCGCCCGUGGGCGGGCAGUUCGUAGGAGACCUUCCUGCUCCGAACCCGUCAGCUAACCCGGUAGGCGAGAAGGAAGGAAAGG